AAAACAGUAUCUGGUAAUGAAAUCAGUCACGAAGGAAGCGGACUUCUCCUGACUUACCAAUGUGACAAGAAGCACCACAGAUGUAGUCAAGUCCAAUUCUCUUACUUCACACAUGAGGAUACUGAGGACUGGGAGGAGUGUAUUCAUGUUACAUUCGGGAUUAGAACUCAGUUUUCCUUCGUCACCAAUUUCAAACAUUCAGUGAAAAUGAUGAUACAAUGAACACCCUAUACCCACCACUACAUUGAUUCAAUGAUUAACAUUUUGUCAUAUUUGCUGACUGUAUUUGCAAAACCAUUUAAACGUAAUUUGUACACCUUGUGACAAUUCAUCUCUAAAGAUUUCAGCAUAUAUUUCCUAAGAUCAGGAUAUUCUUUUAUAUACCCACAAUACCAUUAUAAAAAUAACUAAAAAUAAUUCCUUAAUGUAUCUAAUACCUAGUCCAUUUUCUAAAUUUUGAAAUGUGUGUCUCAAAAUGUCUUUUAUAAUUUUUUUCCUCAAAUUACAAUCUAGUCAAGAUAUCUCAUUGCAUUCAUUUUAUCUUUAUCAUCUCUGUUCGUCUGGAACAUUCUCCAAACACUUCUUUUUGGGAUGUUAACUUUUUGUAAAAUGCCCCAUGGCACACUAGGGAAAGUGGCAUACAAAGCUGAGGCCUGAAGGUGAAUAAGUAUGUGUCAUCAAAUGAAGAAGUAUGGAAAAAGGGAAAAGAUUUUCUAAGCCUUUGUUUCUCUGUUCUGGCCACAACCCCAGAAGUCAGAGGCCCAACCUGAGUUACUGUGGAAGAGGACAGAAUAUUUGGUGCCCCCUCCAUGGCAAACAAACAAGACACUACCCUGCAAUUGAAAGGGACAGUAUUUCUCUUAUUCCAAGUACACUUGAGAUAGAAAAUAAUACAUUUCUUUUAAAUGACAAGUAGUUGCAAAUGCAAACUCAUAAAGAUCCACAUCUUUAUGAGAAGGAGUUAACAAUCUCUUCACAGUAAUUCUGGGAUUAGGAGAUGAGACCAUGUUUCUACAUGAAGACACAGAUACCUCUCCAAAGAUACUCACCCCUCCUGGUCUGUAAACUUUUGAAAAUUAGAACAGCAUUUUGUUCAAUUUUAUUCUCAGUGUCUAGCAGCUCAAUAAAUAUUAGUUGAAUGCACAAGUCAGUUAUAAAGUCAAUUGAAUAAUAUUUGCAUUUCUGCCUUUCUAUAUUAAAUACUUUGUUGGGCAUAGCAACAAUUUAUUUUCCUGAACUCCUCACCACGCAUGUUUACCAUAUGCCCUGAUACCAAGCCUUCUUUCUCAUGGUAUCUCUGUAAACUGGAAAAAUAGUACAGGAAGUGUCCUGACACAGUGUUCCACUGUUCCCAA
This 1355-nucleotide long non-coding RNA is filed under the name Homo sapiens (human). RNAcentral describes it as "non-protein coding lnc-RBMS1-5:1". Lineage: Eukaryota; Metazoa; Chordata; Mammalia; Primates; Hominidae. The record is from RNAcentral.